Molecule: unclassified non-coding RNA, 787 nt
Filed under: Hevea brasiliensis (rubber tree)
Lineage: Eukaryota; Viridiplantae; Streptophyta; Magnoliopsida; Malpighiales; Euphorbiaceae
Source: RNAcentral
UGGCGCACUGCAAAUGCUUGCAACAAAUAUUGAGUAUGAUGAACACAAAGGACGAAUUGCUAUUGGACGUUUGCAUGCUGGAGUUCUGCGGAAAGGAAUGGAUGUGAGGGUAUGCACAUCAGAAGAUUCAUGUAGAUACGCAAGAAUUAGUGAACUUUUUGUGUAUGAGAAGUUCAGUAGGGUUCCAGCAGAUACUGUGGAAGCUGGUGACAUUUGUGCUGUCUGUGGAAUUGAUGAUAUUCAAAUUGGGGAGACAAUUGCAGAUAAAGUAUCUGGGAUUACCUUCUAUCAAAGUGGAAGAACCCACAGUGAAAAUGGCUUUCUCCAUAAACACUUCACCAUUUGUUGGCCGUGAGGGGAAAUAUGUUACUAGCAGGAAUUUACGAGAUCGACUCUAUCGUGAGCUUGAGCGAAAUUUAGCUAUGAAGGUUGAAGAUGGUGAAACUGCAGAUACAUUUGUUGUUAGUGGGCGUGGUACUCUACAUAUCACCAUAUUGAUAGAGAACAUGCGAAGACAAGGAUAUGAAUUCAUGGUGGGACCUCCUAAGGUCAUUAACAAGAAAGUGGAUGAAAAAGUGCUAGAACCGUAUGAGAUUGCCACUGUGGAGAUACCGGAAGAACACAUGGGGUCUGUGGUUGAGCUUCUUGGUAAAAGGCGUGGGCAGAUGUUUGAUAUGGAAGGUGUUGGGUCGGAGGGAACAACACUACUAAAAUAUAAGAUUCCUACACGUGGCCUUCUUGGAUUGCGGAAUGCAAUUUUAACAGCUUCUCGUGGCACAGCAAUUCU